This 496-nucleotide ribosomal RNA is filed under the name uncultured bacterium. RNAcentral describes it as "partial 16S ribosomal RNA". It matches the Rfam family "Bacterial small subunit ribosomal RNA", at positions 28 to 506 of the family's 1533-position model. The record is from RNAcentral.
GAUGAACGCUGGCGGCGUGCCUAAUACAUGCAAGUCGAGCGAACGGACGAGAAGCUUGCUUCUCUGAUGUUAGCGGCGGACGGGUGAGUAACACGUGGAUAACCUACCUAUAAGACUGGGAUAACUUCGGGAAACCGGAGCUAAUACCGGAUAAUAUUUUGAACCGCAUGGUUCAAAAGUGAAAGACGGUCUUGCUGUCACUUAUAGAUGGAUCCGCGCUGCAUUAGCUAGUUGGUAAGGUAACGGCUUACCAAGGCAACGAUGCAUAGCCGACCUGAGAGGGUGAUCGGCCACGCUGGAACUGAGACACGGUCCAGACUCCUACGGGAGGCAGCAGUAGGGAAUCUUCCGCAAUGGGCGAAAGCCUGACGGAGCAACGCCGCGUGAGUGAUGAAGGUCUUCGGAUCGUAAAACUCUGUUAUUAGGGAAGAACAUAUGUGUAAGUAACUGUGCACAUCUUGACGGUACCGAAUCAGAAAGCCACGGCUAACUACGU